Long non-coding RNA from Scylla paramamosain (green mud crab), 939 nucleotides. RefSeq lists it as uncharacterized. The transcript is spliced from 5 exons. The record is from RefSeq and is a predicted model, not a curated record. NCBI's taxonomy places the organism in Eukaryota, Metazoa, Arthropoda, Malacostraca, Decapoda, Portunidae.
CUCGUCCCUACAUUUUGUCCACUCUCUUCCCAUUAGUUGUACGGGGCGAGUAUACAAUGUGUGCGCCCGGCAGUGCUCAGGCCGGAGUGUAGCAAACUAACGUUGAACUAUGGACAGAGGGGAAUCCAGCGACAGAAGCUGACCACCUUCUAUCAUCACAGCCUCUCAUCGCCGCCUUGCACUACUGAGGAUGACCUUCCCAGCUAAGGUCACACCAGUUUCCUGUGAUAAGUGGUUCAAGUGGAGAACCUUCACCAGCCGCUCAUCCACCGCAGGCAGAAUGACCUUGAUGAAUAUUGCUUGUGCCUGACGCCAUGACUCGUGAUGGAAGGAAAGUAGGCUCUGCAAAAUGUGCCAACAUCGUCUGUCAGUGGUGCGCGGCUCGGUGAACCAGAAAUUAAGCCUCGAUUCCCUCGAAGCUGCGCAGGUGAAGAGGAAGUGAAGCUUGUCGUACCACGAUCACGAUGUGUUUGCAAGAAAAAUAAAAAAAAGGUCAUUUCACUUAACGGCCUCUCACACGGCUAUCUGCUGUCACUCUCCUCGCCUGUACUGUGAUAACCUCAUAAUACACGUGGCACGUACGAUCAAGGAUCGGGCGUUGUGUCCCUAAACAACUUCACUGCUUCAGGAACAUCCCCAAGCCAGCUCGCUAGGCUAGAAGCAUGCUGCCCAUUUUUGCUGGUGAGACCUGCAGCACAGAGAGUUUGGUGUCACAAAGGGACUGGACCAUUGUGUUGAUGCUUUGUCAUUCCAACAACAAACCCCAAGCCAGCAUCUCUUCAGCCACUUCAUUUUGCCGCUGGCCUGGCCAUGGUCAGGUCACUCCAGGGUUGAAGUGGCAACAGCACAACCUGGUCCUAUAGUCAACACCCUGAGUAUCAAUCAAUAGUCUGGAUCCACUAUAGGUCAAUUAGUUUGUGCCAAGCUUUCACACUCCAG